Molecule: ribosomal RNA, 21 nt
Filed under: synthetic construct
Source: RNAcentral
CCCCAUGCGAGAGUAGGGAAC